Molecule: long non-coding RNA, 1994 nt
Organism: Aegilops tauschii subsp. strangulata
Lineage: Eukaryota; Viridiplantae; Streptophyta; Magnoliopsida; Poales; Poaceae
Source: RefSeq, a predicted model, not a curated record
CGAUUUUCAGUAGUACUCCAGUUGUUCCAUCUUGGUGCUAACUAGCUAGCUUUUGCCCUCUCGCACAUCCGCGGAGCUAGCUCACCCCGGUGAGAAAGAAUGCUACCUAGCGCUUGCCGUUUGAUUCGGGUUCUUACCGUCCUCCUGUUGCUGUUAUCUGUCUGCUUCUGCCUGCUUACAAGGGGUUUCAUGCACAAAGCAGCUCGCCACUGCCUUCCUGGUCACGACCCAGUAGGCUGCCCACCCGUACGCUGCCCACCGUACUGCUCAUAGGAAGGGUACUGGUUCUAUACAAUGGAACAUGCAAAUAUGUGGAUGGAGGCUGGUCCAAUGGAGCAUCUGUUGUUCUCUUUCUUCACGAUCAUUGCACAUCAAGUCUUCUACCUAUAAAUGGGGUGUUCAUCUUUCUACAGGAGCUAUUUACAUUAUGCAAGUGUAAUCCGUUCAGUCGAUCAUAAGUUUGUAGUUUAAGAUGCUUAUUUUUCUUACUGAAAGAAUAUACAGGAGCGGAAGAGCCUGUCAUUCGAAUUUUAUAGGCAAAAAUUGAGUGACAUGUACCAGCAAAUAAAGUCCAGCUCUGCUCUGAUUAUUUUUAGUACUUCUGAGUUACUUUCCUAUCCUUCAACAAUGACCAUCUCAACUUAACUUACCUAUGGCCUAGAAGUUGCAGUUGGAUUAGAAUUGCAUAUUUUCAAUAAUGCAGUUUGGGGUAAAUGCUGUAUAAUGUUCCUAUGGUUAUUUUUUGAAAAAAUAUAUAACUGGAAAUUAGCAGAACUAUGACUUAAAAAUAAUCAAAGCGUGACCAAUGAUGACAUGCCUGAGGUAGAUUAAUUAACAUGGGUGGCAUGUGUGUUUCUCAUAUCACAUAAAAUUGGCAAUAGAAACAUUAUGUUCUGUUUUAUCUUCUGGUGGUAUGCCUACUUGCAUGCAUCUAACAGAUACUGCAGUACUGAUUAAAGGGGGUGAGCUGGUCGAGAACAAUUGUAAAGCAAUGAUUUAAUCUAUAAAUUUGUUGUGUUUAAAAGAAGGCAUGAGAUUGGUUAGACCCCUUGUAGACCCUAGCCCUGAUCAUCUAUAUAAGACAAGGGCAGGGGUAGCCAUACUCAUCUAUUCUCUGAUAGGCUAGACUCUCGGUAGCCAUAUUCACCAUCUCUGUAAAUCCCUCAUACGAGGUGCUCCACCAUCAAUACAAAACAAAGCAAGAUGUAGGGUGUUACCUCACCAUGGUGGCCCAAACCUGGGUAACCCUCUUGUGCCAACUCCCUUGUAGCACUUUCGGCCGUGUUCGCCAUCCUACCGAGUGUACUGCACGCAUAUUCAAUUAGUACAUUUGGUAGGGUAGCGGGCAUGGCCGGAAGUACUACAUCGGAGGUCGCACAGUGGUUUUACCCAGGUUAGAGCCUCCGGUGAGGAGCAAUACCCUAAGUCUUGCUUUGUCUUAUUAUUCAUGGUGGGUGUACCUCGUGCGAGGAAUUACAGUGGGGGAGAUGAGUUGCUACCGAGAGUCUAGGUCUACGAGAGUAGAUGGGUAUAAGAGCCCCUUAGCCUCCACCUUAUAUACAUUGUGGGGGCUAGGGAUUUCCAGGAGGUAGAUCCAAUCUAAACGCCGUCAUGUUGACUUAGCUAGGGGUUGAGAUGAUUUAUAGAUGCUUCAUCCGAUCCUCCGGGCUAGUCGCUAACUCCUUGGUGGGAUUUCAAGGCUCCGUGACAGGCCUGCUGCUAGGCUCCUCGUGGAGAAGCACCCCCGGUUUAUUACAUCAACGUUGCAUGGCGGGCCUGGCUCUUCAAGGAGCUUGAUGCAUCAGAAUAUGAUGCCAAAGAGGCACAUGUCGACAGCUCUAGCGUGGUUGUGCCAACGCCGUUGGCUCCGGCGCAAGGGUCAUCGACCUCACCUCCGACGGAGAGGAGUAUGCUUUUAUAGUUUUUAUUUAGCUAUCUUUUGCGUUGUAAAAAUAAUCCAUGAACAAGUUCAAAUGGCUUGUCCGCUUUGUUUG